AGUGAACGCUGGCGGUAGGCCUAACACAUGCAAGUCGAACGGCAGCACAGUAAGAGCUUGCUCUUACGGGUGGCGAGUGGCGGACGGGUGAGGAAUACAUCGGAAUCUACUUUUUCGUGGGGGAUAACGUAGGGAAACUUACGCUAAUACCGCAUACGACCUACGGGUGAAAGCAGGGGAUCUUCGGACCUUGCGCGAUUGAAUGAGCCGAUGUCGGAUUAGCUAGUUGGCGGGGUAAAGGCCAACCAAGGGGACGAUCCGUAGCUGGUCUGAGAGGAUGAUCAGCCACACUGGAACUGAGACACGGUCCAGACUCCUACGGGAGGCAGCAGUGGGGAAUAUUGGACAAUGGGCGCAAGCCUGAUCCAGCCAUACCGCGUGGGUGAAGAAGGCCUUCGGGUUGUAAAGCCCUUUUGUUGGGAAAGAAAAGCAGCAGGUUAAUACCCCGCUGUUCUGACGGUACCCAAAGAAUAAGCACCGGCUAACUUCGUG
RNAcentral lists this ribosomal RNA (492 nucleotides) under uncultured bacterium. RNAcentral describes it as "partial 16S ribosomal RNA". It matches the Rfam family "Bacterial small subunit ribosomal RNA", at positions 29 to 507 of the family's 1533-position model. The record is from RNAcentral.